RNAcentral lists this ribosomal RNA (346 nucleotides) under Escherichia coli. RNAcentral describes it as "partial 23S ribosomal RNA". It matches the Rfam family "Bacterial large subunit ribosomal RNA", at positions 2585 to 2925 of the family's 2925-position model. Lineage: Bacteria; Pseudomonadati; Pseudomonadota; Gammaproteobacteria; Enterobacterales; Enterobacteriaceae. The record is from RNAcentral.
CAUUUAAAGUGGUACGCGAGCUGGGUUUAGAACGUCGUGAGACAGUUCGGUCCCUAUCUGCCGUGGGCGCUGGAGAAUUGAGGGGGGCUGCUCCUAGUACGAGAGGACCGGAGUGGACGCAUCACUGGUGUUCGGGUUGUCAUGCCAAUGGCACUGCCCGGUAGCUAAAUGCGGAAGAGAUAAGUGCUGAAAGCAUCUAAGCACGAAACUUGCCCCGAGAUGAGUUCUCCCUGACCCUUUAAGGGUCCUGAAGGAACGUUGAAGACGACGACGUUGAUAGGCCGGGUGUGUAAGCGCAGCGAUGCGUUGAGCUAACCGGUACUAAUGAACCGUGAGGCUUAACCUU